AUGGAUGUGCCUCUGCCUUCACAGUCCAACCGUGCUGGAUGCAAUGGAAGCGUCGGCAGCCCGUCGGAUGAUCCAUAUGGCGUUACGGCCAUGAUGAACUUUGAUGGGUACUCAGAGCUCUGCGGCAGCCCUUCGUUAGCUGACCAGCUGUUCUCGUUGCUGAACGACUCGUCCACACACCAGAUGUUUGCUAUGUGGUCAUCCUUGGGAUCUUCGCCGCGUGCUUCUGGUGUCAGUGAAGAUAUGCAGCUCGAUGCCUAUUCCAGUGUACCCGGGGAUCAAAAGGUUGAUUUGGUAUCUUCGGUGAAUCCAGCUGAAACUGGGACCGGGAGAAUGGCCAAGAGUUCAGGCGACCUUGGCUCAGAUGGUGAUCCCGAACAAGGAAGUACUAGCUUGGUUCCCAGGCCUAUUGCCGGCAACUUACUCGCUGACAGGAUGCUCAUGGCUCUGUCUUUGUUCAGGAAGUCACUUGGCGGCGGCAUUCUUGCGCAGGUCUGGAUGCCUGUUGAGCAGGAGGGGCAUGUCGUGCUUAGUACAUGUGAACAGCCGUUUCUGCUUGACCAAGCUCUUGCUGGGUACAGAGAAGUAUCCAGGCAUUUUGUGUUCUCUGCUAAGGAGGAGACUGGCCUUCAACCAGGGCUUCCAGGGAGGGUCUUCAUCUCCGGUGUGCCAGAAUGGACCUCAAAUGUGCUCUACUACAGCAAGCCAGAGUAUUUGAGGAUGGAGUAUGCUCUUCACCAUGAAGUUCGAGGAUCACUUGCAAUGCCGAUAUAUGACCCUAGCAAGGGCUCUUGCUGUGCGGUGCUUGAGCUUAUCACAAAGAAGGAGAAACCUGACUUCGAUGCAGAAAUGAACAACCUUCGCCAUGCAUUGCAGGCUGUGAACUUGGAGACAGCAAAAGAUUGUAUCGAUCAGAAGGUUUAUUCAGCAAAUCAGAAAGCCGCCUUCACUGAGAUUUUGGAUGUUCUAAGAGCUAUUUGCCAUGCACACAUGCUUCCGUUGGCCCUUACAUGGGUCCCUUCAUCAAAUGGUAGUGAUGGUGGUUAUGUUGGACAUGAUAGUGUCCUUGAUUCUCAGUCAGGGAAAGCGAUACUCCGCAUCCAUGAAUCAGCGUGUUAUGUUAAUGAUGCAAAGAUGCAAGGUUUUUUUCAUGCAUGCACUGAAACUCAUCUUGAGAAAGGGCAAGGUAUUGCAGGCCGAGCACUCAAGUCCAAUCUGCCGUUCUUCUCUCCUAAUAUAAGAGAAUACGGAAUUAAGGAUUACCCACUCGCACACCAUGCUCGUAAGUUUGGUCUGCAUGCUGCUGUAGCAAUCCGGCUAAGGAGCACAUACACUGGUGAUGAUGACUACAUACUAGAAUUCUUUCUACCAAUCAACUGCACAGGCAGUGAAGAACAACAGAUGUUAUUGAAUAACCUGUCCAGUACUAUGCAAAGAAUAUGCAAAAGUUUGCGAACAGUUUCUGAAGCAGAGGUUGAUAAAGUUGACGCUUGUACUGCAGUAAUGUAUAAGGCAACCAGUGGAAGUUGCUUGCCUACUGGUCAGUCUUGGAGUUCUUCACAUGGUGAUCAACCUGCCACAGAAGAGGCAUUCCAGGAUCUAUCUUUAAUUGAUAAGCAAGGGGACAUGUCCGAGCAGGCACAGUCUAGUUCAAUGCGACUUGCGGAGAAAAAGCGCAGUACAGCGGAGAAGAAUAUUGGCAUGGAUGUUCUCCGUAAGUACUUUUCUGGGAGCCUAAAGGAUGCUGCAAAGAGCCUCGGUGUUUGUCCAACAACCUUGAAACGGAUAUGCCGCACACAUGGAAUUUCGCGAUGGCCAUCUCGCAAGAUAAACAAGGUCAACCGUUCGUUAAAGAAGAUCCAAACUGUCAUUAACUCUGUCCAUGGAGUGGACAGCUCUUUGCAGUAUGAUCCAGCUACUGGAUCUCUUGUUCCAGCAGUUUCUCUGCCAGAGAAGACUUCAUUCCCUUCAUGUGAUGCUGUGUCUAGUCCAUCUGUUGGGAAAACUGUGGAUGAAAAAUCUGGCCCAAAAUCUGAGCAAGGGUAUUCGUCACCUGAAGGAUGGGAAAGAGAUAGCUGUCAGUUGCAGCGCUCUGAUGCGCAGAAAGGGGAAGGCGGUGAAUUUCACAUGCAGACAACUAACUAUAGUGGCAGUGGUGAUCACGGCUCUUAUGGUCCGAAUAUCACACAUCAUAUUAGUUCUGAAGGAACACAAGGACCAUUAUAUCCCACUGGUGCUGUUAGUGCUUUACAUGACAAAGAAACAGGUUGCAUCGAACCUUUGCCCUGUGUCCUCCCAAGCAUCAAGACUACCAGGGACCAAAUAGUGGGAAGGAACUCACCACCCAUGCAACAAGCAGAUAUUGAUAUGUUUGAUGAUCGCGAAGGCAGGGAGCAUACUCAUCCUUCUACCUCUGGUAUGACAGACUCUUCUAGCGGCAGUGCAUCAAGCCACCCUACAUUCAAGAAGAACCCAGCACGCCCACUUAAGGACAAGAGCAGCCCUGCACUUACGGUCAAGGCGACGUACAAUGGAGACACCGUGCGGUUCAAGUUCUUGCCAUCGAUGGGCUGGUACCACCUGCUGGAAGAAAUAGCCAAGAGGUUCAAGCUGUUGACCGGGGUGUUCCAGCUCAAGUACAAGGAUGACGAGGACGAGUGGGUCAUCAUGGCGAACGACUCCGAUCUCCAGGAGUGCGUCGACGUCAUGGACUCGAUGGGCACGCGCAACGUGAAGCUCCAGGUCCGGGAUCUCCCGUGCCUCAUCAGCAGCUCGGGCAGCAGCAGCUGCUUGCAGCUGGAAGGACACAAUUCAUGA
RNAcentral lists this ribosomal RNA (2817 nucleotides) under Triticum aestivum (bread wheat). Its description in RNAcentral is "partial small subunit ribosomal RNA". The record is from RNAcentral. Lineage: Eukaryota; Viridiplantae; Streptophyta; Magnoliopsida; Poales; Poaceae.